RNAcentral lists this ribosomal RNA (451 nucleotides) under uncultured bacterium. Its description in RNAcentral is "partial 16S ribosomal RNA". It matches the Rfam family "Bacterial small subunit ribosomal RNA", at positions 354 to 796 of the family's 1533-position model. The record is from RNAcentral.
GUGGGGAAUAUUGGACAAUGGGCGAAAGCCUGAUCCAGCCAUGCCGCGUGUGUGAAGAAGGCCUUUUGGUUGUAAAGCACUUUAAGCGAGGAGGAGGUUACCGAGAUUAAUACUCUUGGAUAGUGGACGUUACUCGCAGAAUAAGCACCGGCUAACUCUGUGCCAGCAGCCGCGGUAAUACAGAGGGUGCGAGCGUUAAUCGGAUUUACUGGGCGUAAAGCGUGCGUAGGCGGCUUUUUAAGUCGGAUGUGAAAUCCCUGAGCUUAACUUAGGAAUUGCAUUCGAUACUGGGAAGCUAGAGUAUGGGAGAGGAUGGUAGAAUUCCAGGUGUAGCGGUGAAAUGCGUAGAGAUCUGGAGGAAUACCGAUGGCGAAGGCAGCCAUCUGGCCUAAUACUGACGCUGAGGUACGAAAGCAUGGGGAGCAAACAGGAUUAGAAACCCGGGUAGUCC